GUGGGGAAUUUUGGACAAUGGGCGCAAGCCUGUUCCAGCAAUGCCGCGUGCAGGAAGAAGGCCUUCGGGUUGUAAACUGCUUUUGUACGGAACGAAACGGUCCGGGUUAAUACCCUGGGCUAAUGACGGUACCGUAAGAAUAAGCACCGGCUAACUACGUGCCAGCAGCCGCGGUAAUACGUAGGGUGCAAGCGUUAAUCGGAAUUACUGGGCGUAACGCGUGCGCAGGCGGUUUUGUAAGACAGGCGUGAAAUCCCCGGGCUAAACCUGGGAACUGCGUUUGUGACUGGUGGGCUUGAGUGCGGCAGAGGGGGGUGGAAUUCCACGUGUAGCAGUGAAAUGCGUAGAGAUGUGGAGGAACACCGAUGGCGAAGGCAGCCCCCUGGGCCUGCACUGACGCUCAUGCACGAAAGCGUGGGGAGCAAACAGGAUUAGAUACCCGGGUAGUCC
Molecule: ribosomal RNA, 450 nt
Filed under: uncultured bacterium
Lineage: Bacteria
Description: bacterial SSU rRNA
Rfam family: Bacterial small subunit ribosomal RNA
Source: RNAcentral